Molecule: ribosomal RNA, 465 nt
Filed under: Vreelandella stevensii
Lineage: Bacteria; Pseudomonadati; Pseudomonadota; Gammaproteobacteria; Oceanospirillales; Halomonadaceae
Description: partial 16S ribosomal RNA
Rfam family: Bacterial small subunit ribosomal RNA
Source: RNAcentral
CCUACGGGUGGCUGCAGUGGGGAAUAUUGGACAAUGGGCGAAAGCCUGAUCCAGCCAUGCCGCGUGUGUGAAGAAGGCCUUCGGGUUGUAAAGCACUUUCAGUGGGGAAGAAAGCCUUGGGGCUAAUACCCUCGAGGAAGGACAUCACCCACAGAAGAAGCACCGGCUAACUCCGUGCCAGCAGCCGCGGUAAUACGGAGGGUGCGAGCGUUAAUCGGAAUUACUGGGCGUAAAGCGCGCGUAGGCGGUCUGAUAAGCCGGUUGUGAAAGCCCCGGGCUCAACCUGGGAACGGCAUCCGGAACUGUCAGGCUAGAGUGCAGGAGAGGAAGGUAGAAUUCCCGGUGUAGCGGUGAAAUGCGUAGAGAUCGGGAGGAAUACCAGUGGCGAAGGCGGCCUUCUGGACUUACACUGACGCUGAGGUGCGAAAGCGUGGGUAGCAAACAGGAUUAGAUACCCCAGUAGUC